This 461-nucleotide ribosomal RNA is filed under the name uncultured bacterium. Its description in RNAcentral is "bacterial SSU rRNA". It matches the Rfam family "Bacterial small subunit ribosomal RNA", at positions 342 to 794 of the family's 1533-position model. The record is from RNAcentral.
UCGGAGGCAGCAGUGGGGAAUAUUGCGCAAUGGGGGAAACCCUGACGCAGCAACGCCGCGUGAGUGAGGAAGGACUUCGGUCUGUAAAGCUCUGUUAAUGUGGAAAAAUGGCAUCGGGUCUAAUAGGCCUGAUGUUUGAUGGUACACAUAGAGGAAGCACCGGCUAACUUCGUGCCAGCAGCCGCGGUAAUACGAAGGGUGCAAGCGUUGUUCGGAUUUAUUGGGCGUAAAGCGCGCGUAGGCGGACCUGCAAGUCAGAUGUGAAAUCUCGAGGCUCAACCUCGAAACUGCGUCUGAAACUACAGGUCUAGAAUCUUGGAGGGGGAAGGGGAAUUUCGCAUGUAGGGGUAAAAUCCGUAGAUAUGCGAAGGAACACCAGAGGCGAAGGCGCCUUCCUGGACAAGUAUUGACGCUGAGGCGCGAAAGCGUGGGGAUCAAACAGGAUUAGAUACCCUGGUAGU